Molecule: non-coding RNA, 93 nt
Organism: Paramarasmius palmivorus
Lineage: Eukaryota; Fungi; Basidiomycota; Agaricomycetes; Agaricales; Marasmiaceae
Source: the annotation of a GenBank genome assembly
GCUCAAGUGGUCUAACGGUUAUGAUGCGACCUUCCCACGAGGUUUCGAUUACAAGCUAAGGUCGCGAACGGGGUUCGACUCCCCGCUUGAGCA